RNAcentral lists this ribosomal RNA (60 nucleotides) under Rhizomucor pusillus. Its description in RNAcentral is "partial 28S ribosomal RNA". It matches the Rfam family "Eukaryotic large subunit ribosomal RNA", at positions 1 to 57 of the family's 3401-position model. Lineage: Eukaryota; Fungi; Mucoromycota; Mucoromycetes; Mucorales; Lichtheimiaceae. The record is from RNAcentral.
UAUGGAUCUGAACUUAGAUGGGAUUACCCGCUGAACUUAAGCAUAUCAAUAAGCGGAGGA